AUCUGCGGCCAUGCCACUCUGAAUGUGCCCAAUCCCAUCUGAUCUCGGAAGUUAAGCAGGGUCGGGCCUGGUUAAUACUUGGAUGGGAGACCUCCUAGGAAGACUAGGUGCUGUGGGCA
This 119-nucleotide ribosomal RNA is filed under the name Pteropus alecto (black flying fox). Lineage: Eukaryota; Metazoa; Chordata; Mammalia; Chiroptera; Pteropodidae. The record is from RNAcentral.